Molecule: long non-coding RNA, 4471 nt
Organism: Chiroxiphia lanceolata (lance-tailed manakin)
Lineage: Eukaryota; Metazoa; Chordata; Aves; Passeriformes; Pipridae
Exons: 3
Source: RefSeq, a predicted model, not a curated record
GCUGCCCGGGCCCCCCGCUCCUCCCGCCGAGCGACCGCACAGCCUGUCCCGUCCGCCAGCGCCCGCCCGCCCAGAACUCCCCCAGGACCGUGGGUACCUCCGUCUGCCCGGCGUGGCACAGCGGCUCUGAUGAGGGCGACAGCAAGGCGAGGGAGAAGAAAAAUCUGCAGGGCGGAGCGGAGCAGCCCUGCUUUUAUGUCGGCAGCCCGCCCCGGCGCGGGGCUGACCGGAUGCCCGGGGGCGGGACGAGAUGGAAUGGCAUGGGAUAGCAUAGUAUGGCAUGGCAUGGCAGGGAUGGCAUGGUAUGGAUGGCAUGGCCCCUCUCCGCUCCGCUCUGCGGCGGCAGACAGCCGGGCCGGGGGCUGCGGUUUGCCAGGGCCUGCCGGGCGGUGGGACAGCAUUCAGCCAGGCGGGGGGAGCGGGCGGAGGGGUGCCUGCCCUCCGCGCCCAGCACGGAGCUGUGGGGUCGCCCCCGGAAAGGAGAGCUGCGGCCCCGGGGGGCAGUGAGGACGCUCGGGCCCCUGGGCUGCUCGCUGAGGCCGCGGAGAGAUUUUUCUGUUGGAGAGAUGACCGACUGGGAGAAGAUGGAUUUCGCACAGCUGGUCUAGAACGAGUGUGGGUGCUGGAGGGCUCCUACUGAGCAGAGCAGAAGAAAAACAACUGAGGCAAAGGAGAUUCCAGUCAAACAGAAGAAUCAUCAUUCUGAACACAAAAGACUGAGUUGAAUUCUGAAUUUUCAUUUAACAUAUGCAUUUCCUUUGAGUCAUAUUUACCAUCUAACAGAGGUUUAUUGAAUUCUAGUUCCCCCUAUCAUCAGAUUUAAAAUAGAGGAAUUAGAGAAGUGACAAACUAUUACCCACUGGUGCCCCAUUUACUACAUCUGGGAAAAGUGCCAAGUCCUGUUUAGUGAGGGUGAGCAGGUGACAUAUGAUGCACUAACAUCUGUUCAAAGUAUUUACUACAUAGCAAAUGUGAGCAGCAGCUUGGUGCACUGAAUAGCAUCCCUUGCAAAUCAAAUUGAGAGAGGGACAAAUUCUCAUCAGAAGAGGAACAUGCCAGCACUAAGUAUCAUCAUGACUUAGCCUUUGGAUGCUCAGGUCCCAGAGUUCACUCCCUGUUAAACUGUGCUUACAGUAUGAUAGUCAGUGUCAGGACCUGAUACAUUGUUUUUCAUUCCCUGAGCAUUUUACUGCAGUGUAGUAAACCUCCUCAGAACAGAUAAGUAAAGCCCUGCAAGAAAAUAUUUUGAUAUGGGCUAGCUCUGUAAUCAGAUUUGUCAUAUGUUCACACAGCACAGAGGAUUGUGUGGGAAGAGGAGUGAAAGCUUGCAAAACAAGACUAACUUAAUUGGAGCUCCCAUGGGAUGAGAAAGUGUGGAAUGCACUCUCUUACCUCUCACCUUGGCAACAGGUAGUAUGAUACACAGGGGCGUGUGUGAAAUUAUGUUCUUUACUCAUGCAGGAAUGCCCAUUAUGUCAGUCCUGUAAGAAGGCAGCAUUGGCUGAGCUUCCAUCUGCUUCCAGAGCUAACCCACUUUAUUCAGAACAGUGAGCUGAAUUAAAAAAAAAAAGGUGCAUUCUAGUGUGAUACAGAAAUGUUACAUCAUAUGCUCACAUAGUAAGUAUGUGACCAAGUGCUCUUAUAAAUCAGAGCUUUGUCUAGGCAGUGCAUGUUUUCUGAUCCCUCAGUUGGAUUUUAUUUGCAAAUGCACAAACUGUAACUUUGAUGCACUAUGAACACAGAUAAUCAGUAGCCCACCACAGUAAGGUGCAAAGAGAUUGCUGUUAUGUAGCUCUUGGCUCACUGUUUUUACAGGCUUCCCUAUCUGUGCAUGAUGUGUUCCCCAUAGUAUCCUUAUUUGUAAGAGAACCUGCCUGUACUGCAGGAGGAAGUAUCUCACAAGAGAUUUUUCUGAUUUUUCUCCUUUCUUCAUGAAAAAAAGCCCAAACCAAACCCUGUAUAUUUGUGAAUGGUUACUUGGGGAGUUUGGGCUGAAACAUCAUUUACAAUACAGAUGUGUACAGGUUGUUGGGAUGGAUUUAAAGAGAGAAGUUGAAAAAAAAAAAAGUAAUUUGUAAUCCUUGCUGAACAGUAAGCAGAGUCAGGCAGCUUCCUACUGUCUGGAACUUAGAAAAAUUUCUUCCUAAUAAAGAGUAAUGCAAGGUUUCCGACAUGGAAAAAUUAGACACAGCAGGGAAGCAAAACUAGCAAAAGAGAUCGGAGGUCUGGGAAAUGAGGCAGCAAGGCUGUUAACCAGCUAACAGAAAGAAAAGUUAGCAAGAUUUUAAUUGAUUAAUUGAAUAUAUGUGAAAGCAGUGGUGGGAGAGUGUAUUCUAGUACAGGAAUAAGCAGGGAUUGGAGGAGAACAUGGGAUGGAAACAGCAGGGUAAAACCAAAGAACUAACUUAAACCUCCAUGUGUUGGAGGGAAGAUGCCAGGUAAGGUGGUCAUGAAUACCUCAUAUGGGCUUGCAGAUCUGUGCCCUGAUGGAAAACUGGAGCAGCCUUUCAUGGUAGGGGCUACAAGUGAAGAUAAAUGAUAAGGGGAGAAGGAAACAAAGUAAUAAUGAUUCUGUGCCAGAGCUAGUCUUCAUUUCUCUGCUUUUCCUUCUUUUCAGAUUCUGUUGCUUUUUGUAUCAUUUCAGAUGCUAAAUAGCCUGGGGACAGUGAGGUGCAGAACUUCUAGCAUACUCUAAUGUACUCUGUAACACGUGGCCACUAAUUCUCUGCGUGUUCAGGCUCAUUCCAUACUUGUAUCACUGUGAGCUACCAUUAAAAUAGGAAACAUCCUUCACUCCCAUGUCCUUUCAUUACUUAGUUUUUUUAUAGGCCUAAAGUAGAUGGGAGUUGUCAGCUCUGCACCAUACUUUCUAGGAUGUCAGCUCAUGCGAUUAUUAAGCAUCAGAAUUUUUUGCUAUUCUGAAGUGCCUCUCAACAAGGCAAAAAGUACCCUCUGUCUCUCAGUGAAACUUUGUGAAUGCCAGAACAUACUUACAUGUCUUGUGAUGCUCUAUUUGCAAUGCUCUAUUUUGGAUUGCUGUAUAUUUCUUACUUGAGAUAAUGCUGCAAAUGUCCGUGAUGGAAGUAAAAGCCGCUACAUUUCUCUGCACUAAUUGUUGGCCUGCAAAUUGAAGAAAAAUGCUAUGAAAGGAAAAACUGCUGAUAUUUUUAUGCUAACUUUUAUGUCCUUGAUAUUAUAGUUAGUUGCCAGAUGCAAUGACAUAAACCCUCGAGUCUCUGCUACAUGGAAAAGUGCAGCAUUGGUGCUUUUGGGUUUUAAUUUGCCUUUUCUCUACAAUUUCUAAAUUAUUAGGGUAUUUAGUUGCACAGGAAAUCCACACAUAAACAUUUUGAUGAAACUGUUUUCUCAGAGAAAUGUACAUUCACGAACAUUGAUCAUGAAGAAUUUACAGGAGUGUACUGGCUUGGACAAGGUUUCACUGUGUUCCCCUGGUUACUUCAGAAGAGCCUCAAACCUGCUACUUUCCGAGUGAUCCAGCUGAUAUCUGAUGAACCAGAGAUUAAAUAACCUUUGCUUUGCCAGGUUUGAAUCAAACUUAAAUGUCACUCUCCCUUAUCUGCAAAUUUGGAUUUCUAUACAUAAUAGUUUAUUUAGGCUGAACAACUCCCCAAAAGAAGAUAAGGGUGUACAGGCCUAAUUUCCACACGGUGGUUCUGGAUGUGCCUCAGGGCUACCCACUUGUGCUGCGUGGUACACAUGACAUGACAUGCAGUGCAAGCUGCUGUAUUCAUGAUGUAAAAUUCUGAUCUAAACUGGGGAGGUGAUUUGUAUUCAGGACUUUGAGGUCUUGAGUACUGUCGAGGCUAUUGCAGUGCACUGUGGGUUAGAAAGUUAGGGAGUUCAAGGAAAAUUAGAGAAUUUAAGGAAAAAGACAUUUCAAAUAUAUAAGCAGGGGGAAAAAAUCCUGUCCAGCUCUUUUAGUCACAUUUCUCAACCUUUUUCUAAGUUGUACUAUAUUUUUGUUGUAUAUUAGUUAUUAUAUUUACACUUGGAUGAUUUUGGUACAUCAGCUUGCCGUCAUUUGUUUGAAAUGCAUCCAAUACAUUUUUCCUACAAUAAAAUGUUGUAAUUUUGUGUAUUAUAUAUGAUUCUUCUUUUAAAAUUCCCUGUUGUCACACUUCCGCUCUGAUUGUAAUGCCUAUGGCUGGCUAUUGAUGGAUAAAACUGAGCACCAUGUUGUUUGGUGGCAAAGGGCUGAUACAUGUGAUACCACAGCAGCACAAAGUGGUAUGAUGAAAAAAAUCUGAAGGAAGUUUGUAAAGAAAGAAAACCUGUCCAGGAGAUUUUUACUCUCAGCUAAUCCUAAGGAAAAGCUUGUCACAGAAAAGUUUUUGUAGUCCUUUAUUGUAUUUGUAUUAUCUUGAUGUAUUGUAUUAUCUUUCAUUGUGUUUUAUACUAGAAAACCUAGAAACACAGUGCUCAAUUAAAACAUUUUUCCACAGCUGACUUC